Molecule: ribosomal RNA, 429 nt
Filed under: uncultured bacterium
Lineage: Bacteria
Description: bacterial SSU rRNA
Rfam family: Bacterial small subunit ribosomal RNA
Source: RNAcentral
UGGGGAAUAUUGGACAAUGGGCGAAAGCCUGAUCCAGCAAUGCCGCGUGUGUGAAGAAGGCCUUCGGGUUGUAAAGCACUUUCGACGGGGAAGAAAUCCUCGUGUUGAAUAAGCACGAGUGUUGACGCUACCCGUAGAAGAAGCACUGGCUAACUCUGUGCCAGCAGCCGCGGUAAUACAGAGAGUGCAAGCGUUAAUCGGAAUUAUUGGGCGUAAAGCGCAUGUAGACGGAUACUUAAGUCGGACGUGAAAGCCCUGGGCUUAACCUGGGAACUGCGUUCGAUACUGGGUGUCUUUGAAUAUGGUAGAGGGAAGUGGAAUUUCUGGUGUAGCGGUGAAAUGCGUAGAUAUCAGAAAGAACAUCAGUGGCGAAGGCGGCUUCCUGGACCAAUAUUGACGUUAAAGUGCGAAAGCGUGGGGAGCAAACAG